RNAcentral lists this ribosomal RNA (645 nucleotides) under Psychrobacter sp. RNAcentral describes it as "bacterial SSU rRNA". It matches the Rfam family "Bacterial small subunit ribosomal RNA", at positions 636 to 1280 of the family's 1533-position model. Lineage: Bacteria; Pseudomonadati; Pseudomonadota; Gammaproteobacteria; Moraxellales; Moraxellaceae. The record is from RNAcentral.
UUAGGCUAGAAUAGGUGAGAGGAAGGUAGAAUUCCAGGUGUAGCGGUGAAAUGCGUAGAGAUCUGGAGGAAUACCGAUGGCGAAGGCAGCCUUCUGGCAUCAUAUUGACACUGAGGUUCGAAAGCGUGGGUAGCAAACAGGAUUAGAUACCCUGGUAGUCCACGCCGUAAACGAUGUCUACUAGUCGUUGGGUCCCUUGAGGACUUAGUGACGCAGCUAACGCAAUAAGUAGACCGCCUGGGGAGUACGGCCGCAAGGUUAAAACUCAAAUGAAUUGACGGGGGCCCGCACAAGCGGUGGAGCAUGUGGUUUAAUUCGAUGCAACGCGAAGAACCUUACCUGGUCUUGACAUAUCUAGAAUCCUGCAGAGAUGCGGGAGUGCCUUCGGGAAUUAGAAUACAGGUGCUGCAUGGCUGUCGUCAGCUCGUGUCGUGAGAUGUUGGGUUAAGUCCCGCAACGAGCGCAACCCUUGUCCUUAGUUACCAGCGGGUUAAGCCGGGAACUCUAAGGAUACUGCCAGUGACAAACUGGAGGAAGGCGGGGACGACGUCAAGUCAUCAUGGCCCUUACGACCAGGGCUACACACGUGCUACAAUGGUAGGUACAGAGGGCAGCUACACAGCGAUGUGAUGCGAAUCUCAAAAA